GUCAUGAGCUCCUUUUCAAGCAGCAAGAGGGCUUUCUAACAAAGAGAACGGCGCAUUCGAGAACAUCUGUGCGGGGAUAUCUAAACUAUUGGAUUCACCUCAGAGAAAGCACUUUACUGUUUGACCCGUAUCCGAGGGUCACUUCUCUUAAGACAGGCCUUGGAUCGCGAAGACCCGAACCUUACCUGCUCCUUCUUCCUUGAUAGAAUAGCAAGCAGCGCCGCAAGGAACCCAGAGUCUGUGGGAGGCUUAUUACUUCAACUAGUCCCCACGGAUCUCUUAGUUGUUGAGAAGGUUGCCUGUUAUGGUAGAUUUUGAAUCCCUAUUGGAUUUCUUACUCCAGAAAAAAGAGAGAAAUCAACAAUAAUGCGCACACGUGAAAAGGCUUACCCCGCAGGCUGACUCUUCCAAUCCAACUCUAUCGAAGGAGAAAAAAAGCUGGGACUACGACUUGCUUAGUGCAGGGCUGCUUGUCGUGAUUGGUUGGACACUCUCUUCGUCUAAGGUCUUAGCUUGGUCACUCUAUUAAGCUUUCCCAGCAAGUCUAUUGAAUGGGGUACGAAAGAUUGCUAUUCAAAGCAUCGUUAAGAGUUCUGUCUUCUAGGGAGUAGUCAAGAUAAGAUGACUCUGAUCUUUCCUUCUAUGGAGCCGGAUGUGAGCUUAUCGCCUACUGAUCUUACUCAAAAAGAGUCAAUGGGAGUAGACACAUCAAUAGCAGCAGACGCAGAGGAAGAAAUCCUUGCUCUUCGGGCUAAGAUGCUGACUUUGCCGUGGAAAGAGUAAUGAGAGGAAAGCCUUGACCUUCCC
Molecule: long non-coding RNA, 807 nt
Filed under: Nicotiana benthamiana
Lineage: Eukaryota; Viridiplantae; Streptophyta; Magnoliopsida; Solanales; Solanaceae
Description: long non-coding RNA (NBEN_LNC019392)
Source: RNAcentral